CGCCUUAGCGAAAACGGCUACCACAUCCAAGGAAGGCAGCAGGCGCGCAAAUUACCCACUCCCGGCACGGGGAGGUAGUGACGAAAAAUAACGACGCGGGACUCUGUCGAGGCCCCGCGAUCGGAAUGAGCUACACUCAAAUCCGUUAACGAGGACCAACCGGAGGGCAAGUCUGGUGCCAGCAGCCGCGGUAAUUCCAGCUCCGGUAGCGUAUAUUAAAGUUGUUGCGGUUAAAAAGCUUGAUAGUCCGAACUCCAGGUUCGUGGUCGCAUUCGCGGCCCCGGGGCGGCGGCGCCAUCGUCCGUCGUUGACUUUGGUCGUCCGUGCGCAUUCCCGGCCCUUUUCCGCCGGUGUCAACCGCUUGCAUAUCCGCCACGUGGUCCUGCCGGCGAAGUAACGCGGGGAGUAGGGUGUUUCCGGCGGGUUCGCCGCGGAGGUUGCGUGGGGGUUCCUGCGAGCGUCGCCGUCUGCGGUGCAGUGUCGCCGGGUCGUUACGUGGCGCGCGCGGUUAAGACGGUGCGGUCCAACGCGGCGUUUCUCCCAGUCGAUGGCGGCCAGCGGCGUUCACUCGUCGUCUGCGUCGCCGUCGUCGCCUAAAAAGGGCGGGCGUCGCGUCGCCCGUCUCGCGUUGUCGCCGCGGGCUUCACUGCCGCUGUUCUAUCCGCGCGGCGGCCCCUCUUCCCCUCUCGUUCUCCACUCACCUCGGCCCUGCUCUACCUACCUCCGCGUCUAAUCUUCGCGUCCGUUUUGCGCGCGUGCGCGGUCGGCGGUUUCUCCUCCAAGGGUGCUCUUGACCGAGUGUCCGCGGCGGCCGGUACGUUCACUUUGAAAAAUUAGAGUGCUCAAAGCGGGCUUUUCAAGCUUGCAUACGAUAAGCAUGGAAUGAUGGAAGAGGGCCUCGUCUACGUCUGUCGGUCUCCGUCUAGGGCGAGGCAAUGAUCGAAGGAGCGGUCAGGGCCACUCGUAUUGCGACGUUAGAGGUGAAAUUCUUGGACCGUCGCAGGACGAACUGCAGCGAUGGCGUGUGGCAAGCACGUUUUCCUCGAUCAAGAACGAAAGUUGGAGGUUCGAAGACGAUCAGAUACCGUCCUAGUUCCAACCAUAAACGAUGCCGACCGGCGAUCCGCCGGCGUUAUUCCCAUGACCCGCCGGGCAGCUUCCGGGAAACCAAAGUCUUUGGGUUCCGGGGGGAGUAUGGUUGCAAAGCUGAAACUUAAAGGAAUUGACGGAAGGGCACCACCAGGAGUGGAGCCUGCGGCUUAAUUUGACUCAACACGGCA
Molecule: non-coding RNA, 1280 nt
Organism: Acanthosepion pharaonis
Lineage: Eukaryota; Metazoa; Mollusca; Cephalopoda; Sepiida; Sepiidae
Source: the annotation of a GenBank genome assembly